This 492-nucleotide ribosomal RNA is filed under the name uncultured bacterium. Its description in RNAcentral is "partial 16S ribosomal RNA". It matches the Rfam family "Bacterial small subunit ribosomal RNA", at positions 29 to 507 of the family's 1533-position model. The record is from RNAcentral.
AGUGAACGCUGGCGGUAGGCCUAACACAUGCAAGUCGAACGGCAGCACAGUAAGAGCUUGCUCUUACGGGUGGCGAGUGGCGGACGGGUGAGGAAUACAUCGGAAUCUACUUUUUCGUGGGGGAUAACGUAGGGAAACUUACGCUAAUACCGCAUACGACCUACGGGUGAAAGCAGGGGAUCUUCGGACCUUGCGCGAUUGAAUGAACCGAUGUCGGAUUAGCUAGUUGGCGGGGUAAAGGCCCACCAAGGCGACGAUCCGUAGCUGGUCUGAGAGGAUGAUCAGCCACACUGGAACUGAGACACGGUCCAGACUCCUACGGGAGGCAGCAGUGGGGAAUAUUGGACAAUGGGCGCAAGCCUGAUCCAGCCAUACCGCGUGGGUGAAGAAGGCCUUCGGGUUGUAAAGCCCUUUUGUUGGGAAAGAAAAGCAGCAGGUUAAUACCCCGCUGUUCUGACGGUACCCAAAGGAUAAGCACCGGCUAACUUCGUG